Molecule: unclassified non-coding RNA, 460 nt
Filed under: uncultured Gammaproteobacteria bacterium
Lineage: Bacteria; Pseudomonadati; Pseudomonadota; Gammaproteobacteria
Description: partial contains 16S ribosomal RNA, intergenic spacer and 23S ribosomal RNA
Rfam family: tRNA (bases 155-228)
Source: RNAcentral
UGCGGCUGGAUCCCCUCCUUUCUAGGGAGUGACGACUGGAUGGGCGAUCCACAAGAUCACCAUCCAGAUCAUCCCAGGUUGACGAGUCAAGUUGGCUUGGCUCACCACACUAUUCGUUAAUUCUUGGUUUCCAAUUAGAACCGAUAUACUUGUCGGGCCUAUAGCUCAGUUGGUCAGAGCGCACGCCUGAUAAGCGUGAGGUCGAUAGUUCAAAUCUAUCUAGGCCCACCAGGUUCCGGAGACGAUUCCUUAAGGUUUGGGGAUAUAGCUCAAUUGGGAGAGCACCGCCUUUGCAAGGCGGGGGUUGCCGGUUCGAGUCCGGUUAUCUCCACCAAUUAGGGGAUUUUUUGGCAGGUGCCAGACACGAUCUUUGACAACUAGCAGGGUAAGAGAGCGGUAUUUGAUCCUUAGAUGCUAAUUGAGUAAAGCUACUAAGGGCGCAGCGGUGGAUGCCUUGGCA